RNAcentral lists this ribosomal RNA (427 nucleotides) under uncultured bacterium. Its description in RNAcentral is "bacterial SSU rRNA". It matches the Rfam family "Bacterial small subunit ribosomal RNA", at positions 355 to 774 of the family's 1533-position model. The record is from RNAcentral.
UGGGGAAUUUUGGACAAUGGGCGCAAGCCUGAUCCAGCCAUGCCGCGUGGGUGAAGAAGGCCUUCGGGUUGUAAAGCCCUUUCGGCCGGGAAGAAAACGUGCGGGCGAACAGUCUGCAUGGAUGACGGUACCGGAAGAAGAAGCACCGGCUAACUACGUGCCAGCAGCCGCGGUAAUACGUAGGGUGCGAGCGUUAAUCGGAAUUAUUGGGCGUAAAGCGUGCGCAGGCGGCGCCAUAAGACAGCUGUGAAAUCCCCGGGCUUAACCUGGGAACUGCGGUUGUGACUGUGGUGCUAGAGUACGGCAGAGGGAGGUGGAAUUCCUGGUGUAGCAGUGAAAUGCGUAGAGAUCAGGAGGAACACCGAUGGCGAAGGCAGCCUCCUGGGCUGAUACUGACGCUCAUGCACGAAAGAGUGGGGAGCAAACA